CACCUGGUCACAAAGUUACUAACAUAAAACCAGGACGUAAAAAUAUACCUAAGUACAUACAAUUUAUCGUGCAAAUUAUUUGAAAGUUUCAAUCAUGUUCAAAGAAAAUUAUACGAAUCUGAAAUACAUACAAAUGAUGAAAAAACUUGUAUGGUGGACUGGAUUUUGGCCAAGUGAAGCGCUUGGGGAAAAAGAACCCCUAUUUGUUAAAUGGCACAAGGUUCAAAUGAUUCUGCAAAAUAGUUGCGGGUUUGUGGGACAGGUCUCCUAUAUAGUUGUAUUCUUUGAAAAAAUCUCGUUUCUUGAUGCUGGAAUAAUGUACAUCACAGCAUCUCUUACAUUUAUGGUGAUAGGAAGAUCUUGUCUAUUAUUCUUCGAUCAAUACCAAAAAAUAUUAAAAACGUUCCUCACAAAGUUUCAUUUAGUUAAUCAUAAACACAGUAGUGGGUAUGAAGCAGAG
This is a non-coding RNA of Plutella xylostella (diamondback moth), 460 nucleotides long. The record is from RefSeq and is a predicted model, not a curated record. Lineage: Eukaryota; Metazoa; Arthropoda; Insecta; Lepidoptera; Plutellidae.